GAUCCUGGCUCAGGAUGAACGCUAGCUACAGGCUUAACACAUGCAAGUCGAGGGGCGGCAUGGUCUUAGCUUGCUAAGGCUGAUGGCGACCGGCGCACGGGUGAGUAACACGUAUCCAACCUGCCGUCUACUCUUGGCCAGCCUUCUGAAAGGAAGAUUAAUCCAGGAUGGGAUCAUAAGUUCACAUGUCCGCAUGAUUAAAGGUAUUUUCCGGUAGACGAUGGGGAUGCG
RNAcentral lists this ribosomal RNA (231 nucleotides) under uncultured bacterium. Its description in RNAcentral is "partial 16S ribosomal RNA". It matches the Rfam family "Bacterial small subunit ribosomal RNA", at positions 15 to 235 of the family's 1533-position model. The record is from RNAcentral.